Long non-coding RNA from Papaver somniferum (opium poppy), 377 nucleotides. RefSeq lists it as uncharacterized. The record is from RefSeq and is a predicted model, not a curated record. NCBI's taxonomy places the organism in Eukaryota, Viridiplantae, Streptophyta, Magnoliopsida, Ranunculales, Papaveraceae. The transcript is spliced from 3 exons.
UUGAUCCGAUGAUUUAAUUCUAGUUUUAUGUUUUAGAUCUAAUAAUUAUAAUAUUUCUGUUUACCAUUCAGUUAGUAGAUUUCAUCAAUCCGACAGACUUCAGCGGCUAAACUUAUAUAUUAAUCAAGAAGGAACCUACUGGUUAGGCAAGAAAUCCAACGAAGUUAUUGAUUUAGUUGGAGAUGACAUUACACCUUUCGCAGGGUGUUGGUUCACUAAAUGUUGCUUUCAAUUCUCGAUCCAUGUACCGAAGGCGUUUGUUUAUGGAAACACUGACAGGGUAUUCCAACCCAGAUUUAUAUUUGAUCACACUGUGUGGAAGGAUUAUGUCGACUGCACAAAUACUCUUCAUCUUGCUCCCCACUUGAUGGUACUGC